This 887-nucleotide long non-coding RNA is filed under the name Pan troglodytes (chimpanzee). Its description in RNAcentral is "lincRNA". Lineage: Eukaryota; Metazoa; Chordata; Mammalia; Primates; Hominidae. The record is from RNAcentral.
CUCUCCUGCUGCACUGUGAAGAAACUGCUUGCUUCCCUCUCACCCUCUGCAGUUUCCUGAGGCCUCCCCAGCCAUGCGGAACUCCUGCUUCCAUAUCGUAAACUGCCUUGGAACCAAGUACCACUACCAGGGAGACAAACUAUUGCUUAGAGGAUGCUGACGGGAGCAGCAUGCCAAAAUUGGAAGAAGGAGAAAGUUUAAGCUCUCCUCACUAUGAGUUUUCAAGUAUAAAAGACUUUUUCUUCCAUGAUUUUGAGAACAACUGUGGACUCUUGUGACCAGGACAACAGGGAAGCUUGCAGCAAGAUAGCUCCAGGUUGGAUUCACGCUUCGCACCCCAAGGGCUGCCAGCCAGAGAGGAGGAGAAGCAAUCACUCCUGCAGUUUCUGAACACUACACAGACGCCAGGUAGCUUCUUCAGGAGAACAGCCCUCUGAGGAGGCAGGAAGAGGAGGCUUCUCUUUCAGCAGCCGGAGCUGCUGAGAUCUCUGGGCAGAUUAAGCUCUCUCUAAUGGAUGGGCUCCAGCCUGGCACACUCAGUGGAGAGGGAUCCACUCAUCCAUCAUCAACACAAUAUGGUCCUCCCUGCACUUCACAGCGUCCUCUUGCUAUUGAAAAGGCUUUUUUGCCUUCUCAAGUUUCUUUGUCAACAGUCUAUAGGAAGAAGCUCAGGCCGCCACCGGCAGAGGUGAAUGCAAGCUCACGUUUUAUUUCUGACUGCUUAAUCAUUGCCUCGAUCACUGCUCAAGCUCUGCCUUUGUUUCCAAAGGUUACAUGUGGGAAAACUUCUUUUUCUAUGCUGAAAUUAAUAGGGAGGCAAAGAUGAGUCCACUGAUAAGCAGAGCCUUAAAACUCACAUAGAGAAACAACUUUGCUGGAGUGUGUGU